AAAGUUCUUCCUGUGUUUAGUUGAAAUCUUCUAUUGUGUAACUUGAAGUCAUUGGUUCGAAUCCUACUCUUCAGAGCCGGAGAAAACAAGUUUGCUCCAUCUUCCACAUGACAGUCCUUAAGAUAUUUGAAGAUGGCUAUCAUAUCUCCUCUCUGUCUCCUCUUUUCCAGGAUAAGCAUACCCAGUUCCUUCAA
Podarcis lilfordi (Lilford's wall lizard) is the source of this 194-nucleotide non-coding RNA. NCBI's taxonomy places the organism in Eukaryota, Metazoa, Chordata, Lepidosauria, Squamata, Lacertidae. The record is from the annotation of a GenBank genome assembly.